This 1429-nucleotide ribosomal RNA is filed under the name Scinax machadoi. RNAcentral describes it as "partial 16S large subunit ribosomal RNA". It matches the Rfam family "Bacterial large subunit ribosomal RNA", at positions 23 to 2597 of the family's 2925-position model. Lineage: Eukaryota; Metazoa; Chordata; Amphibia; Anura; Hylidae. The record is from RNAcentral.
GCUAAAAAUCUAGCCCAUUGAUCCCACAUGAAUUUAUUUACCUUUUUACAAUUAACCAAAACAUUUUAACAUUCUAGUAAAGGAGAUUGAAAAAAUAAUUGGAGCAAUAAAAAUAGUACCGCAAGGGAAAGAUGAAAUAAACAUGAAAUAAACUAAAGCACAAAAAAGUAGAGAUUUUCCCUCGUACCUUUUGCAUCAUGGUUUAACUAGUCUAAUCAAGCAUAAAGAAUUAUAGUCUGACCCCCCGAAACUAAGCGAGCUACUUCAGGGCAGUUUUAAGAACCAACCCGUCUCUGUUGCAAAAGAGUGGGAUGACCCUCAAGUAGCGGUGAUAGACCUAACGAGCUUAGUGAUAGCUGGUUACUCAAGAAAAGGAUUUUAGUCCAACCUAAAGCUUUUAUUAUGAACAAAAAUUUUCACCAAGCUUUAGAGCAAUUCAAAUAAGGUACAGCCUAUUUGAAACAGGAUACAACCUCAACUGACGGGUAAUAUAAGUUAACUUACCAAAUUAAGUGGGCCUAAAAGCAGCCACCUUUAAAAGGGCGUCAAAGCCUAGUUGAAAAAUUUUAGAUAAUUUCUCCAACUCCUUCUAACCCCCUACCAAUAUUGAGUAAUUCUAUAUAUCUAUAGAACCUAUAAUGUUAAAACUAGUAACAAGAAGCUAAACCUUCUCUUAGAUGUAUGUAUAAAUCAGUAAGGAUAAACCACUGAUAAUUAACGUUUGUGAGCCCACAUUAGUAACCCCCCCAAGAAAACCCUAAUUUUUUCUACGUUAAACUGACACAAGAACAUCUCAAGAAAGAUUAUAAGAAAAAGAAGGAACUCGGCAAAUUUUAACCCCGCCUGUUUACCAAAAACAUCGCCUUUUGCCCAAAAAUAUAAGGUCUAGCCUGCCCAGUGACCAUGGUUCAACGGCCGCGGUAUCCUAACCGUGCGAAGGUAGCGUAAUCACUUGUUCUUUAAAUAAGGACUAGUAUGAAUGGCAUCACGAGGGUUAUACUGUCUCCUUUUUCUAAUCAGUGAAACUAUUCUCCCCGUGAAGAAACGAGGAUAUUUUUAUAAGACGAGAAGACCCUAUGGAGCUUUAAAUUUUAUUUCACUUGCUCUCUUUAUCCCCAGCCCCUGCCUCUUAAUUUUAACUGAGUAUUCUGAUAGUAAAUUUUAGGUUGGGGUGACCGCGGAGCAUAAAAUAACCUCCGCAUAGAACGGGCCUGAGCCUUGAACAAAGAGCUUCAACUCCAAGUACUAAUACAUUAACUUCCAUUGACCCAAUAUUUUUGAUCAACGAACCAAGUUACCCUAGGGAUAACAGCGCAAUCUACUUUGAGAGCCCCUAUCGACAAGUAGGUUUACGACCUCGAUGUUGGAUCAGGGUAUCCCAGUGGUGCAGCCGCUACUAAAGGUUCGUUUGUUCAACGAUUAAAACCCU